UUCGCAAGUAGAGAAGAGAUAUUCAAAAAGAGGAGCUUCUUAGUAUAAGAUCAUGUAGAAAAAAUGCAUGAAUUGGAGCUCGGAUGAGAGAGAUAUGUUUUUUUAAACUUAGGCUACUAAUUUGAUGCCUAUUAUUACUUUUCCAUGCAUACUAGGAGUUUUAAGAUACUAGCAAGUAAUUGGAGAGUUGAAUUAGAAACUAGACUUCAAGUUGAAUAUUUUACAUUUAAUGAUUGAUAGAAUUGAGUCUAGAAUGAAUGAAAUAUGGCUGAUUAAAACUAGCAAACUAAAACUAGGAUUAUGAAGAAAUUAGUGAACUAAAGGAUUUUGGUUUUAAGCUAGAACUUGAGCUUCAAGACGAAUUUGAAGCUCAUUUUUUGUGUAUAUGUUACUUAUGAUAUAAAGAUCCUUAUCUAAAAUCUCAUGUUAAUUGAAUUAGGAGAAAUGGUAAAUUUUUUUUCAAGUGUCUAGGAUUUUGACUUAAAAAUGUACUUAAUAAGGAUUUGGUAAAAUCAAUCGAUUGGCAAUGAAUUUGUAGCUAAAAAUUUGUGUAAUGAUGUUCAAAUGUGUAAGUUUUGUACUUCCAAAUUUUGAGCUUAUUUGAAUGGCUAGAACU
Molecule: long non-coding RNA, 616 nt
Filed under: Physcomitrium patens
Lineage: Eukaryota; Viridiplantae; Streptophyta; Bryopsida; Funariales; Funariaceae
Description: long non-coding RNA (PPAT_LNC012764)
Source: RNAcentral